UACCUACGGGACGCAACAGUGGGAAUUUUGGACAAUGGGGGAAACCUGAUCCAGCCAUCCCGCGUGUGCGAUGAAGGCCUUCGGGUUGUAAAGCACUUUUGGCGAAGUGGCACGGGAUAAUACCCCGUGCAACUGACAGUACCUGCAGAAUAGCACCGGCUAACUACGUGCCAGCAGCCGCGGUAAUACGUAAGUGCAAGCGUUAAUCAGAUUACUGGGCGUAAAGCGUGCGCAGGCGGUUCGGAAAGAAGAUGUGAAAUCCCAGAGCUUAACUUUGGAACUGCAUUUUUAACUACCGAGCUAGAGUGUGUCAGAGGAGGUGGAAUUCCACGUGUAGCAGUGAAAUGCGUAGAUAUGCGGAGGAACACCGAUAGCGAGGCAGCCUCCUGGGAUAACACUGACGCUCAUGCACGAAAGCGUGGGGAGCAAACAGGAUUAGAUACCUGUUAGUCCACGCCCUAAACGAUGUCAACUAGCUGUUGGGGCCUUCGGGCCUUGGUAGCGCAGCUAACGCGUGAGAUUGACCGCCUGGGGAGUACGGUCGCAAGAUUAAAACUCAAGGAAUUGACGGGGACCCGCACAAGCGGUGGAUGAUGUGGAUUAAUUCGAUGCAACGCGAAAACCUUACCUACCCUUGACAUGUCUGGAAUCGAAGAGAUUUGGGAGUGCUCGCAAGAGAACCGGAACACAGGUGCUGCAUGGCUGUCGUCAGCUCGUGUCGUGAGAUGUUGGGUUAAGUCCUGGCAAGGCGCAACCCUUGUCAUUAGUUGCUACGAAAAGGGCACUCUAAUGAGACUGCCGGUGACAAACCGGAGGAAGGUGGGGAUGACGUCAAGUCCUCAUGGCCCUUAUGGGUAGACUUCACACGUCAUACAAUGGUCGGGACAGAGGGUCACGUAACCCGCGAGGGGGGUAAUCCAGAAACCCGAUCGUAGUCCGGAUCGCAGUCUGCAACUCGACUGCGUGAAGUCGGAAUCGCUAGUAAUCGCGGAUCAGCAUGUCGCGGUGAAUACGUUCCCGGGUCUUGUACACACCGCCCGUCACACCAUGGGAAUUGGGUUUCAGAAGUAGUUAGCCUAACCGUAAGGGCGAUUACCACGGUAGGAUUCAUGACUGGGGUGAAGUCGUAACAAAGGUAG
Molecule: unclassified non-coding RNA, 1139 nt
Filed under: uncultured Bordetella sp.
Lineage: Bacteria; Pseudomonadati; Pseudomonadota; Betaproteobacteria; Burkholderiales; Alcaligenaceae
Description: partial 16S-23S ribosomal RNA intergenic spacer
Rfam family: Bacterial small subunit ribosomal RNA
Source: RNAcentral